UACAGUGGGGGAUAACGUAGCGAAAGUUACGCUAAUACCGCAUAUUCUGUGAGCAGGAAAGCAGGGGAUCGCAAGACCUUGCGCUGAUUGAGCGGCCGAUAUCAGAUUAGCUAGUUGGUGAGGUAAAAGCUCACCAAGGCGACGAUCUGUAGCGGGUCUGAGAGGAUGAUCCGCCACACUGGGACUGAGACACGGUCCAGACUCCUACGGGAGGCAGCAGUGGGGAAUUUUGGACAAUGGGGGCAACCCUGAUCCAGCCAUGCCGCGUGAGUGAAGAAGGCCUUCGGGUUGUAAAGCUCUUUCAGCCGGGAAGAAAAUGUAUGGGUUAAUACCCUGUGCAGAUGACGGUACCGGAAUAAGAAGCACCGGCUAACUACGUGCCAGCAGCCGCGGUAAUACGUAGGGUGCGAGCGUUAAUCGGAAUUACUGGGCGUAAAGCGUGCGCAGGCGGUUUUGUAAGACAGGCGUGAAAUCCCCGGGCUUAACCUGGGAACUGCGUUUGUGACUGCAAGGCUAGAGUACGGCAGAGGGGGGUGGAAUUCCACGUGUAGCAGUGAAAUGCGUAGAGAUGUGGAGGAACACCAAUGGCGAAGGCAGCCCCCUGGGUCGAUACUGACGCUCAUGCACGAAAGCGUGGGUAGCAAACAGGAUUAGAUACCCUGGUAGUCCACGCCCUAAACGAUGUCAACUAGGUGUUGGGAGGGUAAAACCUUUAGUACCGUAGCUAACGCGAGAAGUUGACCGCCUGGGGAGUACGGCCGCAAGGUUAAAACUCAAAGGAAUUGACGGGGACCCGCACAAGCGGUGGAUGAUGUGGAUUAAUUCGAUGCAACGCGAAAAACCUUACCUACCCUUGACAUGUCAGGAACUUUCCAGAGAUGGAUUGGUGCCCGAAAGGGAACCUGAACACAGGUGCUGCAUGGCUGUCGUCAGCUCGUGUCGUGAGAUGUUGGGUUAAGUCCGCAACGAGCGCAACCCUUGUCGUUAAUUGCCAUCAUUUAGUUGGGCACUUUAACGAGACUGCCGGUGACAAACCGGAGGAUGGUGGAGAUGACGUCAAGUCCUCAUGGCCCUUAUGGGUAGGGCUUCACACGUCAUACAAUGGUCGGUACAAAGGGUCGCCAACCCGCGAGGGGGAGCCAAUCCCAUAAAGCCGAUCGUAGUCCGGAUUGCAGGCUGCAACUCGCCUGCAUGAAGUCGGAAUCGCUAGUAAUCGUGGAUCAGCAUGUCACGGUGAAUACGUUCCCGGGUCUUGUACACACCGCCCGUCACACCAUGGGAGCGGGUUCCGCCAGAAGUAGGUAGCCUAACCGCAAGGGGGGCGCUUACCACGGCGGGGUUCGUGACUGGGGUGAAGUC
RNAcentral lists this ribosomal RNA (1359 nucleotides) under metagenome. RNAcentral describes it as "bacterial SSU rRNA". It matches the Rfam family "Bacterial small subunit ribosomal RNA", at positions 132 to 1487 of the family's 1533-position model. The record is from RNAcentral.